RNAcentral lists this ribosomal RNA (305 nucleotides) under uncultured bacterium. Its description in RNAcentral is "bacterial SSU rRNA". It matches the Rfam family "Bacterial small subunit ribosomal RNA", at positions 334 to 637 of the family's 1533-position model. The record is from RNAcentral.
UCCUCCUACGGGGCGCAGCAGGGAGGAAUAUUGGUCAAUGGUCGGGAGACUGAACCAGCCAAGCCGCGGGAGGGAUGAAGGUACAGAGUAUCGUAAACCUCUUUUGUCAGGGAACAAAGGCGGGGACGUGUCCCCGGAUGAGUGUACCUGAAGAAAAAGCAUCGGCUAAAUACGUGCCAGCAGCCGCGGUAAUACGGAGGAUGCGAGCGUUAUCCGGAUUUAUUGGGUUUAAAGGGUGCGCAGGCGGUCUGUUAAGUAAGCGGUCAAAGCCCGGGGCUCAACCCCGGCCCGCCGUUGAAACUGGC